GUGCCAGCAGCCGCGGUAAUACGUAGGGGGCUAGCGUUAUCCGGAAUUACUGGGCGUAAAGGGUGCGUAGGUGGUUUCUUAAGUCAGAGGUGAAAGGCUACGGCUCAACCGUAGUAAGCCUUUGAAACUGGGAAACUUGAGUGCAGGAGAGGAGAGUGGAAUUCCUAGUGUAGCGGUGAAAUGCGUAGAUAUUAGGAGGAACACCAGUUGCGAAGGCGGCUCUCUGGACUGUAACUGACACUGAGGCACGAAAGCGUGGGGAGCAAACAGGAUUAGAUACCCUGGUAGUCC
This 291-nucleotide ribosomal RNA is filed under the name uncultured microorganism. Its description in RNAcentral is "partial 16S ribosomal RNA". It matches the Rfam family "Bacterial small subunit ribosomal RNA", at positions 505 to 796 of the family's 1533-position model. The record is from RNAcentral.